CGCAGUGAUUUGGGGUUCAAGCCCUUCAGAGAGCGGCUCCAUCUGCUCCUUGCCUGGGGUGGAACAGCAGCGCCCAGGCAAUGGGAAGUGAUUUGUGUGAAUCAAUCACAAGCUCAUGUUUUAUGAAUGACUCCGAGAGGCCUGGGUCACACCGAAACCGCACCACUUCCAGCUUCAUGUCUUUGUUUGGAAUUUGCAGCAGAAUUCAUCUAUCACUCACUAUCACAGGGCUCUGCAAAAGCAGAUCUUAGAUGGGUUUGAAGCUUUUGUAUACUGAAGGCGUCUCCGUCUCGCUGCAGAAGGAACCGACAGGGGACAGUGAGAUCUAAGGCUGGUUACAGAGCCCGUUAAUUGAUCCUCGCAGGAAGUUCCAAAAAGCUAUUAACCCCAAACUGAAACAUGAUGCAAAGCAACAUGUGCUGAACGCUGACUUCCUUCCUGCAUUCACCAAGGAACACCCAGGAUCCAUCCCUGUCCCUAGGCAUUACUGUAUGGCUGACAAAUGAUGGACAUGUUUUGCUGACCGUGUACCAUCAGCUAAGCAAAUAUGAGACUCUUGAGCUCCCCAACAGCAAGAGGAACUCCAUCCUGUGCAAAGGCAACAAUGCUUUACAUGCCACAUGUAACGUGCCUUAAGGAUUCAAAACAGGAUUUCAGCAAGACUUAACCAGGGCAAAUACCUUGUGCCUGACCCCUGUGCAAGCUAACGCCAUCCCCUGAGAACCAACUCAGGCUAUAGGAAGGUAUGCAGGAAUGAAAGGGCUCUUUGAUCCGGAGGAGCAGCACAGAUUCCCAGCUGGCUAAAUCAGUUCCCUCGACUGCUGUGGACAACACAGAUGGGCUGUAUUCUCCGUAUCCAUCCAUAAACAAACCCAUUGACUUUG
This is a long non-coding RNA of Pezoporus occidentalis (night parrot), 884 nucleotides long. RefSeq lists it as uncharacterized. The transcript is spliced from 2 exons. The record is from RefSeq and is a predicted model, not a curated record. NCBI's taxonomy places the organism in Eukaryota, Metazoa, Chordata, Aves, Psittaciformes, Psittacidae.